GCGGGAAGAAGCAGCCACACCCUGGGGAAUGUGGAGCCAGUACACCUGCGGGUCUCCAGGGUGAGGGUGGCCCCCAGGCUGCUCCUCCAUUCUUGCACCGUCCCUGUCCCUGGCCACAGCCUGCACCUGUUUGUGCGGCUGCUUCUCUCCCCAGGCCCCCAGCCCUUUCUCGCUCGAGCUCUCAGCAGACGAUUUACUCCAAACUCCACAAUAAACUUAAGGCCAUUGUGCAUCAGUUCAACUUCCCUCUCGGGGCCUGUCCCCACCUCUUUUCUGUAGCCUGGGAGGAGGACGUGGUCCUUCUGUUCCAGGAGACCUGUCCCCUCCCCCCACGCCUGUGCCCGGGCAGCUCUCACUGUCUCCUUGACCGACUCCAUCCCUGCGGUCCAGAGUGAGCUUCCUCCUCUCUGACCUCCUUAGUUUCAUGGCCUCACGUGGAAAACACAAUUCGCACAAGUUCCUCCACGCCCUGCCUCCUGGUGCCUCUGAACCUGUCAUGUCAAAACUGCUACCUUGCUUCUCUCUCUCCCCUGUUUUUACAGCCUGUACACUUCCUCCGUCAGGGGCUUUGUUUCUCCUGCCACUCUGCCUGUCCCCUCUCAGUCUCUCGCUGCUCUGCACUGACACGCUGGCGUUUCCCGGGUGAGGGCUGGGGAUCGCUCUCGCUCAACCUCAUCUUCUCCUUCACACAGCCGUUCCCGACCUGGUGUGAUGUUUCCUGAGAUCCUCCUGCGUUGACAGGCACUGUGCUGUCACCUGAGGAUGGCUCUUCACAUGGUGUGCCUUCUUCCUCAAAAGUGCUUGGUGAAUUUUGGUAUCAGAGGAGCUGACAGCCUUUAGAAAGACUGCUAGAGAACACGGGUACCUGCUCUCUUCAUAUUCUAAAGAGGCUAUCUUUCCAUUUUGAUGAACUGCUGCUCUUCUACACACAAAUACCAUCACUUCCCCCCAGGAGAAGCUGCCUAAGGGAAGAAUCUCCUCAGUAGAACACUGUGGCAACCCAUAUGUGAUCACAAUGUUUGCCCGAUUGUGUACAAUGUCUAGAAGCCAUAAAAGAAAAGUAAAACCUGGGGUGCGUGCCUGGGUGG
This is a long non-coding RNA of Suricata suricatta (meerkat), 1088 nucleotides long. RefSeq lists it as uncharacterized. The transcript is spliced from 3 exons. The record is from RefSeq and is a predicted model, not a curated record. NCBI's taxonomy places the organism in Eukaryota, Metazoa, Chordata, Mammalia, Carnivora, Herpestidae.